Molecule: unclassified non-coding RNA, 329 nt
Filed under: soil metagenome
Description: partial contains 5.8S ribosomal RNA, internal transcribed spacer 2, and large subunit ribosomal RNA
Rfam family: 5.8S ribosomal RNA (bases 1-120)
Source: RNAcentral
GAUGAAGAACGCAGCGAAAUGCGAUAAGUAAUGUGAAUUGCAGAAUUCAGUGAAUCAUCGAAUCUUUGAACGCACAUUGCGCCCCUUGGUAUUCCGAGGGGCAUGCCUGUUCGAGCGUCAUUAUAACCCCUCAAGCUCAGCUUGGUGUUGGGGCCUGCUGCACUGGCAGCCCUUAAAAUCAGUGGCGGCGCCAUCUGGCUCUAAGCGUAGUAAUUCUUCUCGCUAUGGAGUCCUGGUGGAUGCUUGCCAUCAACCCCCAAGUUUUCUAUGGUUGACCUCGGAUCAGGUAGGGAUACCCGCUGAACUUAAGCAUAUCAAUAAGCGGAGGA